RNAcentral lists this ribosomal RNA (194 nucleotides) under uncultured eukaryote. RNAcentral's name for it is "partial 18S ribosomal RNA". It matches the Rfam family "Eukaryotic small subunit ribosomal RNA", at positions 1 to 202 of the family's 1831-position model. The record is from RNAcentral.
GCAACCUGGUUGAUCCUGCCAGUAGUCAUACGCUUGUCUCAAAGAUUAAGCCAUGCAUGUCUAAGUAUAAACGAUUAUACUGUGAAACUGCGUACGGCUCAUUAAACCAGUUAUAGUUUAUUUGAUAUUCCCCUACUACUCGGAUACCCGUAGUAAUUCUAGAGCUAAUACGUGCGUCAAACGACAUAUGUCGU